This 65-nucleotide transfer RNA is filed under the name Tristoma integrum. RNAcentral describes it as "tRNA-Asn". The record is from RNAcentral. Lineage: Eukaryota; Metazoa; Platyhelminthes; Monogenea; Capsalidea; Capsalidae.
GCGUGUAUAGAUUAGUUAAAUCGCAAGGCUGUUAACUUUGAGAAGGUCUUUAGGGCCUGCAGGCG